RNAcentral lists this ribosomal RNA (628 nucleotides) under Desmonostoc sp. MACC 279. RNAcentral describes it as "bacterial SSU rRNA". It matches the Rfam family "Bacterial small subunit ribosomal RNA", at positions 36 to 717 of the family's 1533-position model. The record is from RNAcentral. Lineage: Bacteria; Bacillati; Cyanobacteriota; Cyanophyceae; Nostocales; Nostocaceae.
CGUGAGGCAGCAUUAACAUGCAGUCGAACGGUGUCUUCGGACUUAGUGGCGGACGGGUGAGUAACGCGUGAGAAUCUAUCUUCUGGUCUAGGACAACCACUGGAAACGGUGGCUAAUACUGGAUGUGCCGAAAGGUGAAAGGCUUGCUGCCUGAAGAUGAGCUCGCGUCUGAUUAUCUAGUUGGUGGGGUAAGAGCCUACCAAGGCGACGAUCAGUAUCUGGUCUGAGAGGAUGAUCACCCACACUGGGACUGAGACACAGCCCAGACUCCUACUGGAGGCAGCAGUGGGGAAUUUUCCGCAUUGGGCGAAAGCCUGACGGAGCAAUACCGCGUGAGGGAGGAAGGCUCUUGGGUUGUAAACCUCUUUUCUCAUGGAAGAACACAAUGACGGUACCUGAGGAAUCAGCAUCGGCUAACUCCGUGCCAGCAGCCGCGGUAAUACGGAGGAUGCAAGCGUUAUCCGGAAUGAUUGGGCGUAAAGCGUCCGCAGGUGGCCUUGUAAGUCUGCUGUCAAAGAGCGAAGCUCAACUUCGUAAAGGCAGUGGAAACUACACGGCUAGAGUGCGUUCGGGGCAGAGGGAAUUCCUGGUGUAGCGGUGAAAUGCAUAUAAAAAAAAUGCAGCCGCG